UUAGAAAUUCAUUCACUACUGAAACUGACUCAAGACUUGGGAUUUGAAACUUAAGUCUUUGACUCAGAAAAGGUGAUAGAUGCACCCCUUGGAAAUCAUUCUUCUUGCCUUAAGGAAAAAGACAAACUGACCAAUAGGCAUUAAGGUACUACCCCUCCAUUCUUUGACUGGCUCAUUGGGAAAUUGGAACUGGAAUAUGUUGUUUCUAC
Molecule: long non-coding RNA, 209 nt
Filed under: Capsicum annuum
Lineage: Eukaryota; Viridiplantae; Streptophyta; Magnoliopsida; Solanales; Solanaceae
Description: long non-coding RNA (CANN_LNC017184)
Source: RNAcentral